Molecule: ribosomal RNA, 468 nt
Filed under: uncultured bacterium
Lineage: Bacteria
Description: partial 16S ribosomal RNA
Rfam family: Bacterial small subunit ribosomal RNA
Source: RNAcentral
GACGAACGCUGGCGGCGUGCUUAACACAUGCAAGUCGAACGGAAAGGCCCUGCUUUUGUGGGGUGCUCGAGUGGCGAACGGGUGAGUAACACGUGAGUAACCUGCCCUUGACUUUGGGAUAACUUCAGGAAACUGGGGCUAAUACCGGAUAGGAGCUCCUGCUGCAUGGUGGGGGUUGGAAAGUUUCGGCGGUUGGGGAUGGACUCGCGGCUUAUCAGCUUGUUGGUGGGGUAGUGGCUUACCAAGGCUUUGACGGGUAGCCGGCCUGAGAGGGUGACCGGCCACAUUGGGCCUGAGGUACGGCCCAGACUCCUACGGGAGGCAGCAGUGGAGAAUAUUGCACAAUGGGCGGAAGCCUGAUGCAGCAACGCCGCGUGCGGGAUGACGGCCUUCGGGUUGUAAACCGCUUUCGCCUGUGACGAAGCGUGAGUGACGGUAAUGGGUAAAGAAGCACCGGCUAACUACGUG